UACCUGUUUGAUCCUGCCAAUAGUCAUAUUCUUGUCUCAAAGAUUAAGCCAUAAUUGUCUAAGUACAUGCCUUCAUACAGUAAAACCGCGAAUCGCUCAUCAAAUCAGCUAUGGUUUAUUGGAUCAUACCCGUUAAUUUGAUAACGGUAAUAAAUCAAGAGCUAACACAUUCCCCGAAGCCCUGACCCGUGAGGGAAUGGGUGCACUUAUUAGAUCAGAUGCCAACGAGGUAGUCUUCUUCUGCCUUCGGGUGGGAGCUCCACUGCCUGUCAUCCUUCUGGUGGCUUUGGAUAAUUGUUACUUAUCGCAGUCGGUCUUGCGUCGGCGACGGGUCCUUAAAAUGUCUGCCCUAUCAACUUUCGAUGGUAGGUGACCUGCCUACCAUGGUGAUAACGGGUAACGCGUAAUCAGGGUUCGAUUCCGGAGAGCGAGCCUGAGAAACGAAUACCACUUCUAAGGGAGGCAGCAGGCGCGCAAAUUACCCACUUCCAGUACGGGGAGGUGGUGACGAAAUAUACCGAUGCGGGACUCUUAUUGAGGCUCCGUAAUCGGAAUGAGUGAACUCUAAAUCCUUUCACGAGGAUCAAAUGGAGGGCAAGUCUGGUGCCAGCAGCAACGGUAACUCCAGCUCAAAUNAGUUGGCGUGGCAGUGGUGUCACCUUUGAGCCCUGUCUGUGGUGAAAUACCCGCAGGUGUAGGCGAGUGUCAGGCGGUGCUCUGCGACAGUAGGGUCCGCGGUUCAUCUGCAUGCCUUUGGAUGCCCUUAAAAAGGUGUCUAUGGGUGGAUAGCACGUUUACUUUUAACAAAUUUGAGUGCUCAAACCAGGCCGAUGUUACCUGAAACGUUUUGCAUAGAAUAAUUGAAUAGGACUUCGGUUCUAUUUUGUUGGUUUUUGAUCCGAAGUAAUGAUCAAGAGAGACAGGCGGGGACGUUUGCAUGAUUGCACUAGAGGUGAAAUUCAUAGGCCAUAACCAGACAGACUAAAGCGUAAGCAUUCUUCAAGCAUGUUUUCAUUGGCCAUGAGCGAAAGUCAGAAGCUCGAAGACGAUCAGAGACCGUACUACAGACUUUUGGUCACUGCAAUCUUAC
This 1090-nucleotide non-coding RNA is filed under the name Schistocephalus solidus. RNAcentral describes it as "Eukaryotic small subunit ribosomal RNA". It matches the Rfam family "Eukaryotic small subunit ribosomal RNA", at positions 1 to 1057 of the family's 1831-position model. Lineage: Eukaryota; Metazoa; Platyhelminthes; Cestoda; Diphyllobothriidea; Diphyllobothriidae. The record is from Rfam by way of RNAcentral.